UUUUAAUCAGUGACUGUAAACAUGACCAUGACGGUUGUGUCAUUUGUAGCAUGAAUCCUCGUGGGUGUAUGAUUGUCAAGAGAGAUAUCCAGAAGUUGAUGGAUAAGAAUGUAAUCCAGAUUCAAUAGUCGAGGGAUAUGGGAGAUGAUGUGAAUGUCAUUGUACCGAAGUUCAAGACCCUUGAGUGGGUAGUCAUUCAGUUUGAUAGUAGUAGCAACAACAGUGUCAAUAGAUCGGUACCAAUGUUG
This 248-nucleotide long non-coding RNA is filed under the name Lathyrus oleraceus (garden pea). Its description in RNAcentral is "Pisum sativum (pea) long non-coding RNA (PSAT_LNC009000)". Lineage: Eukaryota; Viridiplantae; Streptophyta; Magnoliopsida; Fabales; Fabaceae. The record is from RNAcentral.